RNAcentral lists this ribosomal RNA (438 nucleotides) under Tenellia sp. K DS-2016. Its description in RNAcentral is "partial 16S ribosomal RNA". It matches the Rfam family "Archaeal large subunit ribosomal RNA", at positions 1924 to 2665 of the family's 2987-position model. Lineage: Eukaryota; Metazoa; Mollusca; Gastropoda; Nudibranchia; Trinchesiidae. The record is from RNAcentral.
AGCCAUUAGAAGAUAUUUAUGGUUUAACCUGCCCAAUGUAGUAAUUAAUGGCCGCGGUACCUUGACCGUGCUAAGGUAGCGUAAUAAGUUGGCUUUUAAAUGGAGUCAGGUAUGAAUGGAUUAACUGGGGUUGGCUGUCUCUAAAAUAAUAUUUUGAAUUUACUGUUCAAGUGAAAAAGCUUGAUUAGGGUAAGGGGACGAGAAGACCCUUAAAAUUUUAUCUAAGGCGAUUUAGGUAAUUGUUGCGAUUUUGUUGGGGCGACAUUGAGAUAGUUAAAACUCUCUUUAAAAUUUUUUAAGCCGAAUUUUUUAAGAUAGAAUAAAUUACUUAAGGGAUAACAGCAUAAUUCUAAAAUUGAGUUUGUGACCUCGAUGUUGGACUAGGAAGCUAGCAGGUUAGAUGCUUGUUGGGGGGAUUCUGUUCGAAUUAUAACUCCU